GUGGGGAAUCUUGCGCAAUGGGCGAAAGCCUGACGCAGCCAUGCCGCGUGAAUGAUGAAGGUCUUAGGAUUGUAAAAUUCUUUCACCGGGGACGAUAAUGACGGUACCCGGAGAAGAAGCUCCGGCUAACUUCGUGCCAGCAGCCGCGGUAAUACGAAGGGGGCUAGCGUUGCUCGGAAUUACUGGGCGUAAAGGGCGCGUAGGCGGACAGCUUAGUCAGAGGUGAAAGCCCAGGGCUCAACCUUGGAAUUGCCUUUGAUACUGGCUGUCUUGAGUUUGGGAGAGGUGAGUGGAACUCCGAGUGUAGAGGUGAAAUUCGUAGAUAUUCGGAAGAACACCAGUGGCGAAGGCGACUCACUGGCCCAAUACUGACGCUGAGGCGCGAAAGCGUGGGGAUCGAACAGGAUUAGAAACCCUAGUAGUCC
RNAcentral lists this ribosomal RNA (425 nucleotides) under uncultured bacterium. RNAcentral's name for it is "partial 16S ribosomal RNA". It matches the Rfam family "Bacterial small subunit ribosomal RNA", at positions 354 to 796 of the family's 1533-position model. The record is from RNAcentral.